RNAcentral lists this ribosomal RNA (253 nucleotides) under uncultured bacterium. Its description in RNAcentral is "partial 16S ribosomal RNA". It matches the Rfam family "Bacterial small subunit ribosomal RNA", at positions 524 to 776 of the family's 1533-position model. The record is from RNAcentral.
UACGUAGGGGGCAAGCGUUGUCCGGAAUCAUUGGGCGUAAAGAGCGUGUAGGCGGCUUGGCAAGUCUGGUGUGAAAUCUUGCGGCUCAACCGCAAGCGGUCACUGGAAACUGCCUCGCUAGAGUCCGGAAGAGGAGAGCGGAAUUCCUGGUGUAGCGGUGGAAUGCGCAGAUAUCAGGAAGAACACCCGUGGCGAAGGCGGCUCUCUGGAACGCAACUGACGCUGAGACGCGAAAGCGUGGGGAGCAAACAGG